Molecule: long non-coding RNA, 455 nt
Organism: Carcharodon carcharias (great white shark)
Lineage: Eukaryota; Metazoa; Chordata; Chondrichthyes; Lamniformes; Lamnidae
Exons: 3
Source: RefSeq, a predicted model, not a curated record
CGAGUGCCUCCCCACCUCGGUCUCCAGAAAUGGCCGAGUGCGGCCGAACCGUCAUUUGCCAAUUAGCGCCGCGGACAGGCUAUGACGAACCUUCCAGACCGGGGUGGGACCAUGGAGAGCAAGUGGAGCCGUCAGGAAACUUAAAAACCUAAUUUUAACUUGGAAUGAGAAUUGGGCAGCCGGGACCAAGGCAAACAUCAAACUUGGGGGCGAUUUUAACUCCCAGGCCUCAUCAGCAUGGCCUCCCUGUUCAUUUGUUGGCUGAAACUGAUGGGAAGCAGGAGGAGGGAAGCGACAGAACCUAAAGAAUGGUCCCUUGCACAUGGUUAUCUACAUAUUUUACAUAAAACCAAUAACUACAACUCAUUGGAAACCUUCAGCAUGAUGGAGCAUCAAUAUACCAACACUAGAGGAUGCUUUCUACAGUGAAUUCUCUGAAGUAUUCAGCAGUAUAG